Molecule: ribosomal RNA, 253 nt
Filed under: uncultured bacterium
Lineage: Bacteria
Description: partial 16S ribosomal RNA
Rfam family: Bacterial small subunit ribosomal RNA
Source: RNAcentral
UACGGGGGGGGCAAGCGUUGUUCGGAAUUACUGGGCGUAAAGGGCUCGUAGGCGGCCAACUAAGUCAGACGUGAAAUCCCUCGGCUUAACCGGGGAACUGCGUCUGAUACUGGAUGGCUUGAAUUCGGGAGAGGGAUGCAGAAUUCCAGGUGUAGCGGUGAAAUGCGUAGAUAUCUGGAGGAAUACCGGUGGCGAAGGCGGCAUCCUGGACCGACAUUGACGCUGAGGAGCGAAAGCUAGGGGAGCAAACGGG